CACACGCAUUCAUUCUCCCUUGUGGGGGGAGAGGCUUAGGAGACCGUUUGAGCUUUAGCAGAAAGGGGGGAGGGACUGAGAAGUUGUCGAUGUUCAAAUUCUUUGGCUAAGUCCCGGAUCUUCACAGUCCUACCUACAGCAACUUUAAAUAUAAGAACAAUGUUCCCAAG
This is a long non-coding RNA of Sander lucioperca (pikeperch), 170 nucleotides long. RefSeq lists it as uncharacterized. NCBI's taxonomy places the organism in Eukaryota, Metazoa, Chordata, Actinopteri, Perciformes, Percidae. The transcript has 4 exons. The record is from RefSeq and is a predicted model, not a curated record.